Molecule: non-coding RNA, 439 nt
Organism: Candidatus Peregrinibacteria bacterium
Lineage: Bacteria; Candidatus Peregrinibacteriota
Source: Rfam
GGGGAUGUACGGUAUUCGACAGAAUGACAAGGUUUAGCUGUUGCAAUUAAGAGGAUCGCGCUGUCUUCUCUUUAAAAAAUAGUCCAGCGCAAAAUAAGUGCAAACAAUUUUGUUGCACGUGCAGCUGCAAGAAUUGCCGCUCGCGAAGCCGGACUUGUUCCAGCUUUUGCUAUGGCAUAAGCUUGCGAUUGCAUGUUUUGCCUGAAAUUUUCGGGCAACGUUUAUAUAGCCUAUAUCUGCUAAGCUAUAUGGGCGUCAUUUAGCAGGUUAGCAUUGUUUUACUCGACUUCAGUAAGGCAAUGUGAAAAACGAAGAAGGUAAGCGCCGAUGUUUUUUGUUCGUCUUUUAUAUCGGCGACCAAAACUUAAGAUGAAACAUGAUUGUAGACGCUUCUAUUCCUCAUUUCUGCACCCGGGUUCGACUCCCGGCAUCUCCACCA